GUUCCAUCCCAUUAUUCUCAUUCUCGUUGAUGAUCUCUACGUUAAGCCGUGGCGAAUUCUGCGCGAGCCUCUUGCAGCCACCGAGUGUUACUUCACAAGACGACAUCCAAAGGGAUCGCAUUGUUUCGUACCUACCCACGUCAGCAAGAAGCGCAGCGUUCCCAAAAGGACUGUCCCUUAUCUCCAGCUUCCUCAUUUUUUUGCAUCCAUUCAACACAUAGAGCAUUCCUUUGUCAGUGUCCCCCGCAAAAGCUAUCGAAAGCAUCUCGAGCUGUUCCGCGUACAUACCGAUGUAGAGAAAGACUUGAUCGGUUAAGAGACCGGAGACAGAGAGCCGUCUUAGACCCUUGCAAGCUUGUACGAUUGCACCAAAGCCCUCGUCCAGUGAUUGAAAUGUAAUGUGGUCAGGUUUGUGUGGCUCGAGAAUGCAUAGCCUGAACCGGAUGAAGUUUGGACAGUUUUUGGCCACGGCUAUGAGCGCUGCGUUUGUCAUCUGUUUGCAGAAGUACAGAAUCGAAUGAAGUUUAGGGCAACCUGCGGAAAUGGCGACUAGUCCAACCUCAGUCACAGAUGCGUUGUUAUCUUCUUCACCAUGUACAUCAGAGGGAAAAACUCUAAGCUCUUGUAACUCUUUACAU
Molecule: long non-coding RNA, 638 nt
Organism: Arabidopsis thaliana (thale cress)
Lineage: Eukaryota; Viridiplantae; Streptophyta; Magnoliopsida; Brassicales; Brassicaceae
Product: other RNA
Exons: 1
Source: RefSeq